Molecule: long non-coding RNA, 1209 nt
Organism: Cyprinus carpio (common carp)
Lineage: Eukaryota; Metazoa; Chordata; Actinopteri; Cypriniformes; Cyprinidae
Source: Ensembl
CUCAGGUCGGGCAGGAAUUGUCAGUGGAGGGAGUGAAUAACACUCAAUACCACGACUGAGAUGAGACCCUUGAGCAAGGCACCGAACCCCCAACUGCUCCCCGGGUGCUGCAGCAAUAUGGCUGCCCACUGCUCCAGGGGUGUGUUCACUGCUGUGUGUGCGCACUUGGAUGGGUUAAAUGCAGAGCACAAAUUCCGAGUAUGGGUCACAAUACUUGGCCACAUGUAACUUCACUUCAUUUAAAUCAUCUUGAGGCCCCAUGAACGUUUGCCGGACCUCUGGUUGAGAGUCACUUCUUUAUUCUUUACUCUAGACAUGCACACCCCAUGCACAGUCCAUAUAUGCAAGACAUUAUGUACACAAUUUACAAUCCUGCAGUUUCUCCCAAGACACUCUUGACUCAGCUCUUAUCCUUUAUAUAAUUCAUAACCGGUUUAAAAAUACCCCGCUCUCAAGCGCAUGCAGGGGUGUUUUCUCGAAUAUGGGCUGGUGGAAGGAGUGUAUUCUGCUCGGGACCGAGCCAACCUGGUUUUCUCCUUGUUUAGCCGCCGCCUCCCCUCAUGACAUCAACACUGCGGAGAGCCGCCGCGCGCUCAGACUCUGCUGCAGAACGGCACGCCAGUGCGCAAAGGCUAUUGAGAUCAUAAUUGGUGUGUUUACUGUCAUUCUGAGCACAAUUGUGUAUAAGCUGCACUACCAUAUCCAGCGUGAAAUCAUCAUCCUCAUCAUCAACGGUGCUCAGCUUGUCAUAACUGGUGUUGUCCUGGUGCACACUGGGAGGAAACCAUCUAAAUGUCUGGUGCUGACAACAUUUGUUCUGCAGUUACUAACAGCAGCAUUUGAUAUUGUUGGAUUUGGGCUGAUGGCCAGACACAUCCCAUUCAGAGGAGACUCGUACUACUACAGGGACACAGAGUUCUUAGUGAAUGGGAUCUUGGUGACACUGAUCGGUUUCCUGAUGCUAGCAUGUGCCAUUGGUUUGGUUGUUUCUCUUUUUGGGGUCUACGCCCUUUCUGUUAGUGCCAUAAAGGAGCUGACUCCUAUCCCUCACUCUACACCAAACCAGCAUUAUGUUGAUGGCGUUCAGACCCAGAAAACGAUCCAUGCCGGAAACUGACAAAAUAAGAGGCAGAAGGGCACAGUUUUAGCACAGUUUUUCACCAACUGCAAAAGAGGACUGUUUCACCUACAAACCACUCACAGGUAACC